UCUUGCGCUGCUCGUGAUAGCACAUGCGCAGAAUAAAUAUACCGCUGGAACGCGGAUUAAGCUGUUUACAUGUCGGAAUAAUUCGAAAGAUUUCGGCGUACGUUUAUUUCAAUUUUGACUUUACACCGAUUGAGAUAAGCAGAGUAAGGUUUUUACAUGACCAUUUCCAUAGUCGGCGUAAACAGUUUAAUAUAGGAUUAUUAAUAUGCAUGUAAACGUACAUCAAUGUUUUACAUGAAAACGUUGGUCUGAUCUCAGCUGUAAACGAAUAAGAUAGCUCAUCUUUCUUUUGAAUAAAUCGAGUACUUGCCCCAUAGAAGACAGUCAAGUCGCAGUCAGUGAGAAUUCCAACAACGGUAGACGAAUGGAAUCAUGUGAGAAUGCUGCAGUCAGCUGAUCAAAACAACGAACGGACUCGCGGAAGCGAAAUAGCUAGGAUACACGUAACAAAGAACAAUGAUGUUUUAGCGGAUGUAUAAAUCUGAAGCAUCCGGUUAGCGUUUCCAAUCGGAUCAAAGCUCUCGUAGAAACUUGCGGAUAGGAGGGUCUGAGGACUGGCAGAGAGCGUUAGCUCCAGAGGCGGAGGAGGGUGGUGGUGGUUGGAAGAGCGCCACGGCAGUUCUUGAUAAAGAAGAACUUCAAGGCUGCGUUUCAAAGUCAACAUACGGUCAAAACACUUAAAAGACACACCCUCGCCCACUUACCCUUAGGGGAAUCCUCGUCGCCAUUUUGGUGGGUGGUCCAAAUGACUAGCCAAGCAAGGGACGUUUGCAACGUAAGCCCCUCAGCCCUCGUUUUUUUGUCGGCUUUGCGAGUGUACAAUUAUGUUCACUCCGGGGCUUGAAACUCCCCAUAAUUCAAUUCGCGACGAUUGUACAAGUGGCGUUACUACAGUCCCUGGUUCAAAUCCAGGCUGUAUCACAUCCAGCCGUGAUUGGGAGUCCCAUAGGGCGGUGCACAAUUGGCCCAGCGUCGUCUGGGUUUGGCCGAGGUAGGCCGUCAUUGUAAAUAAGAAUUUGUUCUUGACUGACUAGCCUAAUUAGAUCAAGGUUAAAUACACAUUUUUUAAAUUCCGGGGAAACUUAAAAACAACAUCAAUGUCAACAUACAAGUGGCAUAAAAGCACCCACAAGCUACCGGUGCCUGAAAACACAAUCAUUGCGGGAUGAACGAGUGACGAAUUACCAAGAAAUGAGUUGUGGCUUGCGGAACAUCCUGCUCAUCCCAUGAGAAGCAGAGCAUGAUCAAUGCCACUUGCACCAAGGAGAUCUUCUGGAAUGGGUGUACUCUCACUCUGGGGGUAGAGGCAGGGAUGACUGGGUUCUUCAGCAAGUAAGACACGGGGUAAGAAAUAAUUUAAACAUCACAUAUAUAAAUUCCCAAUGUGCCCAUUAUAAAGUUAACUACAUUGCUUUAGUUAGCUGCUUUCAGCAAAAAUUGUAUGUAAUGUAACCUAUGUAUGUACAAUGUGGAAUAUUUUUGGACCAUUGGCUUCCCUGAAAACGGAGACUGACAGGAGGAUCAAUAGGAGUCUGCCAGAGGUCGUCACGCUGGAUGGUGAUGGAGGUUUUGGUGGUCCACACAACGAAGAAGCAGGUGUCCCUUCAAGUGACGUGGAGUUUACCUUGGACCAAGUGCCAGUAAGGAUGGUCUUCACGGAGGCUGUAAGACGCUUUCUUCUGGAUAUAGAAAUCCUUCAACUUCACUGCCUCUUCAAUGGUAAGGUCCCCUCCAUUUGAUCCCCACAAAGGCUGUGGUGCCCACCAGACCAUCUGGUGAAGCACCCAGAAUCCCAGACCCCGUGACCCAAGCCUUGACUCCUGCACAUCCAUCCCUGUAGCCAUUUUGAAUGUCUUGAUGCCCUCCUCUUUAUCUGUGCCCCACUUUACACACAACACCCCAUCCAACGACUGUGAACACCUUGAAAUGUAUGCAUUUUAAGAAAUGUGAUACAAAAAUAGUUUGAUUUGAUGACUACAGCUGUAGAAUAUUUAAUAAACUGUGAAGUGCAGUUUUUCCAUAAACUUUUAAUUGAUAACUUGGGAUUUUGUCACUUGACAUAUCAAUCAUACAGUGGGAAGGAUCCUAUAAAUCAAGACUGUGUGGAUGCAUGUACCUCUCCGAAUAAAUAAAUGUCUCAAAGUCAAUUCUGAAUGUCAAUUAGUUUUGGAUUAAUUCUCAUCAAUGACAACAUUCUAGAACUGAGUAAACACUAAUCGAUGUCUGGUAUCCGGGGUAAUCUGGUUUUGAUUAAGUGUCUCUUUCCUUAUAGAAUGUUGACAGCUGUAUAGAACAAAUUGUAUUGCUAUGGUGCUCAAACUUAAUAGGUUGCAUGUUCAAAUCCAGCCAUGUAUUUUUGUUUUAAGCCUAUCCUCAACCUUAACCAUUGCGGUAAUGCCUAACCUUAAGAUUUCAGAGUUAAUGACUUGAACUUAACCUUAAACUCUUCGAAAUUUGACUUUUGAGAAACAUGGAUGAACGUCUACUUCUAACUUGAGAUUGCGAGAGCUUGUUGGCUUUUUUUGCAUGUGACUACUCAUGUUUGUUAAUAACAAAUAAACAUAAAUAAAUGUG
This is a long non-coding RNA of Oncorhynchus tshawytscha (Chinook salmon), 2574 nucleotides long. RefSeq lists it as uncharacterized. The record is from RefSeq and is a predicted model, not a curated record. The transcript has 4 exons. Lineage: Eukaryota; Metazoa; Chordata; Actinopteri; Salmoniformes; Salmonidae.